GUGGGGAAUCUUGCGCAAUGGGCGAAAGCCUGACGCAGCCAUGCCGCGUGAAUGAUGAAGGUCUUAGGAUUGUAAAAUUCUUUCACCGGGGACGAUAAUGACGGUACCCGGAGAAGAAGCUCCGGCUAACUUCGUGCCAGCAGCCGCGGUAAUACGAAGGGGGCUAGCGUUGCUCGGAAUUACUGGGCGUACAGGGCGCGUAGGCGGACAGCUUAGUCAGAGGUGAAAGCCCAGGGCUCAACCUUGGAAUUGCCUUUGAUACUGGCUGGCUUGAGUUUGGGUGAGGUGAGUGGAACUCCGAGUGUAGAGGUGAAAUUCGUAGAUAUUCGGAAGAACACCAGUGGGGAAGGCGACUCACUGGCCCAAUACUGACGCUGAGGCGCGAAAGCGUGGGGAGCAAACAGGAUUAGAAACCCGGGUAGUCC
RNAcentral lists this ribosomal RNA (425 nucleotides) under uncultured bacterium. Its description in RNAcentral is "partial 16S ribosomal RNA". It matches the Rfam family "Bacterial small subunit ribosomal RNA", at positions 354 to 796 of the family's 1533-position model. The record is from RNAcentral.